RNAcentral lists this transfer RNA (74 nucleotides) under Rosistilla ulvae. RNAcentral's name for it is "Planctomycetes bacterium EC9 tRNA-Val". It matches the Rfam family "tRNA". From Rfam's summary of the family: Transfer RNA (tRNA) molecules are approximately 80 nucleotides in length. Their secondary structure includes four short double-helical elements and three loops (D, anti-codon, and T loops). Further hydrogen bonds mediate the characteristic L-shaped molecular structure. tRNAs have two regions of fundamental functional importance: the anti-codon, which is responsible for specific mRNA codon recognition, and the 3' end, to which the tRNAs corresponding amino acid is attached (by aminoacyl-tRNA synthetases). tRNAs cope with the degeneracy of the genetic code in two manners: having more than one tRNA (with a specific anti-codon) for a particular amino acid; and 'wobble' base-pairing, i.e. permitting non-standard base-pairing at the 3rd anti-codon position. The record is from RNAcentral. Lineage: Bacteria; Pseudomonadati; Planctomycetota; Planctomycetia; Pirellulales; Pirellulaceae.
GGGAGGUUAUCUCAGCUGGGAGAGCGCCUGCAUCACAUGCAGGAGAUCAUCGGUUCAAGUCCGUUAUCCUCCAC